UUGCACUGAACGGUCUUGCCUGCCUUUCCCAUGGUGGUAUUAGACCAGUUCAGUGCCAAAUGAUCUUCAGUUUGCAGAAGGGCUGUGCUUGAUCUCUGGCUCAUCCCUUUCGAAGGCUGAGAACAUUU
Small nucleolar RNA from Alosa alosa (allis shad), 128 nucleotides. Lineage: Eukaryota; Metazoa; Chordata; Actinopteri; Clupeiformes; Clupeidae. The record is from RefSeq and is a predicted model, not a curated record.